AGAACGUAGUUUUUGUGAAGUAAUAUUAUAAUUUAUAAUUAUUGUCCGGAUGUAUGUUUAUCCGUGCGUGAACCACUUAACGCAGUCUAUAAAUACUUGCGGGAUUUUUGUGAAAUCCAAUCGUUUGGUGCAGUUUUAGUAGUUAAAGAAGUACCUGAAUACAAACAUGAAGUGUGCUGUGGCCAUAGUACUAGCUCUCAUCGGCAUGUCACUCGCUCACCCGGCUCCGUCCGGUUUGAGUGGACUAGUAUCUCCUCUGCUGCUACCCGCUGUAGAGGCUAGAUCCAGCAUCGUCAACCAUGGCUACACCAUACCUACCCCGUAUCCUUGUCAAACCUAUCCCUAUAAUCAAACCGUUGAUUGUCGAACCAAUCUAUAAAGUCCCCAUCGUCAAAUCUAUUUACGGCGGCUGGGGAGGUUACGGUUUACAUUAAAUAGGUCCUACCUAUACCUAAUGAUCUAGCUAAAAUAAACUGGACCGAAUGUUGAAAGUUAAACCCCUGUUCUAUACACUUUUGUAUCAAUAAAUCAUUUUUUAUAGCUGG
This is a long non-coding RNA of Maniola jurtina (meadow brown), 545 nucleotides long. RefSeq lists it as uncharacterized. The transcript has 3 exons. The record is from RefSeq and is a predicted model, not a curated record. NCBI's taxonomy places the organism in Eukaryota, Metazoa, Arthropoda, Insecta, Lepidoptera, Nymphalidae.